This is a non-coding RNA of Paramuricea clavata, 820 nucleotides long. The record is from the annotation of a GenBank genome assembly. NCBI's taxonomy places the organism in Eukaryota, Metazoa, Cnidaria, Anthozoa, Malacalcyonacea, Plexauridae.
AAUUAAUCAAAAAUUAAUUAGUCUUUCUGUUGUUUGCUUAUGACAUCUGUCGUUUGUUACUUUGUUUUUUAAUUUUAUGCACUUUUGGGGCGAUACAUAGAGUAUUUAGACCAAAGCCUCACCACCUAGGCCAUGGGUAUUUAGUGUAUAUGAAAAAAAAUAAUGAAAUUGUUUCUGCAACAUUGCCAUGAGCAAUUCAGAAAAUGGCAUGACAAUUCAGUUGAGUAAACAGGAAGUUGACAUCCGUUCAGGGGCAUAGGAAGCAUCUUUUAGUUGGGGGGGGGGGCAUUAACCAUGAGAGCAUUUGCCACCUGAGAAAGGGCACAUGUUAAUAUACAUUACCAAAAUGAACUAGUAAUAAAUAGAUAACAUUGUGCAGUUGUCUAUUCAGUUAUAGGUACACAGUAUGAUGUCAAAAUGUGGCAAGAACAAAAAAGUGGCCCACAAGCAGGCUAGGCAAGGGGAUCACUGAUGUUCUUACCACAUUAUGACGUCUUCAGGACUGUGUUUCUAUAAUUGAACAGACAACGGAAAAAAAAUUUAAACAAAUUUAUUCUUUAUUCUAAAUCUUUAUUUGCCCCCAAACAUUUGGAAAACAGAAGAGUCAAACAGAUUCAAAGUUUUGAAGUUCAGUUCGAAAUUGGACACAUUUUGAGAAACUAGGAAAUAAAAUGAACGAAAACCGGUACCAGUUACUGUAAAAUUAUCAAGAAGAAAAUGUGUUUGGUCCGGAAAAUUUUUUUAAGUGCUUCUGUCUCCAACAUUUCAGGGCUGCAAAAAAAUUUUGAAAUUAGCCCCCUCAAAAUAAAAACUGUUCCAC